Molecule: ribosomal RNA, 666 nt
Filed under: uncultured bacterium
Lineage: Bacteria
Description: bacterial SSU rRNA
Rfam family: Bacterial small subunit ribosomal RNA
Source: RNAcentral
UGGAAUGUUCGGUGGAGGGGUGAAAUCCGUUGAGAUCGAGCAGAACGCCAAUGGCGAAAGCAGGUUUCCUGGGGUAUUCCUGACGCUCAGGUACGAAAGCUAGGGGAGCAAACGGGAUUAGAGACCCCGGUAGUCCUAGCCGUAAACUAUGAAUACUAGCUGCUUCUUUUUAAGGGGUGGCGUAAGCUAACGCGUUAAGUAUUCCGCCUGGGUAGUACGGCCGCAAGGUUAAAACUCAAAGGAAUUGACGGGGGAGCGCACAACCGGUGGAGCAUGUGGUUUAAUUCGAUACGAAGCGAAAGACCUCACCUGGGUUUGACAUGUAAUUGCAAAUCCCUGGAAACAGGGACUCUUUCGAAGGUAUUACACAGCUGCUGCAUGGCUGUCGUCAGCUCGUGUCGUGAGACGUCCGCUUAAGUGCGGUAACGAGCGCAACCCCUGCCGCGUGUUAAAUAGUCACGUGGGACUGCCUUACAGCAAGUAGGGAGGAAGGAGGGGACGACGUCAAGUCAGCAUGGCGCUUACAUCCAGGGCCACACACAUCCUACAAUGGGAAGUAAUAACGGGUCGCGACGGGGUAACCCUGAGCCAAUCCUUCAAACCUUCCCUCAGUUCAGAUUGAGGGCUGCAACCCGCCCUCAUGAAGUCGGAAUCGGUAGUAAUCGC